AUGGCGUGGACUCCUCUCGUCCUCGUACUCCUCUCUCACUGCACAGGUUCCCUCUCCCAGUCGGUGCUGACUCAGCUGCCCUCCCUCUCUGCAUCUCCUGGAGCAUCUGCCAGACUCACCUGCACCCUGAGCAGUGGUUUUAGUGUUUGUAGUUACAGGAUANACUGGUACCAGCAGAAGCCAGGGAGCCCUCCCCGGUGGUUCCUGUACUACUACUCAGACUCCGACAAGGAGUUGGGGCCUGGGGUCCCCAGUCGAGUCUCUGGGUCCAAAGAUAAGUCGAAGAACACAGCGUUUCUGCACAUCUCUGGGCUCCAGGCUGAGGACGAGGCCGUGUAUUACUGUCAGAUUGGGCUCAGUAGUGGUGCUCACAGUGACACGGGCAGAUGGGGAAGUGCGACAAAAACCUCAGGGCCUCUUUGUUGAUGUUAAAAAACAUGUAGUGGCAUUGUU
Molecule: non-coding RNA, 453 nt
Organism: Tupaia belangeri chinensis (Chinese tree shrew)
Lineage: Eukaryota; Metazoa; Chordata; Mammalia; Scandentia; Tupaiidae
Source: the annotation of a RefSeq genome assembly